RNAcentral lists this ribosomal RNA (305 nucleotides) under uncultured bacterium. RNAcentral describes it as "bacterial SSU rRNA". It matches the Rfam family "Bacterial small subunit ribosomal RNA", at positions 335 to 658 of the family's 1533-position model. The record is from RNAcentral.
UGCCUACGGGACGCAGCAGUGAGGAAUAUUGCACAAUGGGGGAAACCCUGAUGCAGCGACGCCGCGUGAGCGAUGAAGUAUUUCGGUAUGUAAAGCUCUAUCAGUAGGGAAGAAAAUGACGGUACCUGACUAAGAAGCCCCGGCUAACUACGUGCCAGCAGCCGCGGUAAUACGUAGGGGGCAAGCGUUAUCCGGAUUUACUGGGUGUAAAGGGGGCGCAGACGGCGAUGCAAGCCAGGAGUGAAAGCCCGGGGCCCAACCCCGGGACUGCUCUUGGAACUGCGUGGCUGGAGUGCAGGAGGGGG